UAGUAAGCUCAGGCUCAUUCAUCGGAGACACACCAUGUUCAAUGCCCUCUCACAGCUUCCUACCGCCAGCGUCCCGCGCUCGGUUGCGGCUGCGCGGGUGAACAACGUGCAAAGUCCGGUCAGUUUUUAUUUUGGGUAUUGGUUUAGCCACUGGCGCGCCUGAUACCCAACCGGCGCCCACUUCAACGGGUCGCCUGCCAGAGUUUCCAAACCCCCGGUCGGCCUCCCGACCGGGGG
This 237-nucleotide small RNA is filed under the name Pseudomonas fluorescens Q2-87. Lineage: Bacteria; Pseudomonadati; Pseudomonadota; Gammaproteobacteria; Pseudomonadales; Pseudomonadaceae. The record is from RNAcentral.